GGAGAGAUGGCUGAGUGGUCGAAAGCGGCAGAUUGCUAAUCUGUUGAGUGAAAUUAUUCGCUCCGAGGGUUCGAAUCCCUCUCUCUCCGCCA
RNAcentral lists this transfer RNA (92 nucleotides) under SAR324 cluster bacterium. Its description in RNAcentral is "tRNA-Ser". It matches the Rfam family "tRNA". Rfam says of the family: Transfer RNA (tRNA) molecules are approximately 80 nucleotides in length. Lineage: Bacteria; Deltaproteobacteria. The record is from RNAcentral.